Molecule: ribosomal RNA, 496 nt
Filed under: uncultured bacterium
Lineage: Bacteria
Description: partial 16S ribosomal RNA
Rfam family: Bacterial small subunit ribosomal RNA
Source: RNAcentral
GACGAACGCUGGCGGCGUGCCUAACACAUGCAAGUCGAGCGGUUGAGCUUGGUUCUCGCCCCGAUUUGCCGGCCAGCGGGCGGGUGAGUCAUGCGUAUCUCCUCUGCCUUUGGGCGGGACACCCCGUUUCGGGCCGUAUUCUAAUACCCCAUCACAGCUUUAAACAUAGGUUUUUUGUUUUCUAGCUCCAUUAGCUUCACUCAAAUCUGAUCCCGCGUUGGAUUAGCUAGUUGGUGAGGUAAAGGCUCACCAAGGCGAUGAUACAUAGCCGACCUGAGAGGGUGAUCGGCCACAUUGGGACUGAGACACGGUCCAGACUCCUACGGGAGGCAGCAGUAGGGAAUCUUCGGCAAUGGACGAAAGCCUGACCGAGCAACGCCGCGUGAGUGAAGAAGGUUUUCGGAUCGUAAAGCUCUGUUGGUAGAGAAGAACGGGAGUGAGAGUGGAAAGCGCAGUAAGGAAGGGAAAAAAAGAAGAAACGCAGGGUAAAUUCGGG